Molecule: long non-coding RNA, 1028 nt
Organism: Pseudomyrmex gracilis
Lineage: Eukaryota; Metazoa; Arthropoda; Insecta; Hymenoptera; Formicidae
Exons: 4
Source: RefSeq, a predicted model, not a curated record
UUUACUAGCGAUAUAGAUAUUUUAUCUCAUGUCACGUGGCUGGGUACAAACAAUUUAUACGCUUUAAAAAGAACUCGCUUCGCCGAAGCAUGUGAAGAUGCAAUGGCUAGAAAUCGUGACUACUGUCGACCAACUAAUAUCGAGUUUGCUGAAUCAAUGACUCGCGCUCUUAAAAGUUUAAAAGAGAGGCGACGAAAACGUCAAUUAGUCGCGGAUUUGAACAACCGACAUCAGAUCAGCAAUCAGAUAAUCGACAACGUUGAAGAGAAAGACCGUCAAGUUCGUAGAUAUCAUGUGAAAAAAACAACCUCUGCCAGAGUUCACAGAAUAUCGCCAGAGUCAGUUGCUACCUUUCAAAGCACUGAUAACGACAUCAAACUGAUCACGGAAAACCAUAAGAGCAAUGUCAUCUACAUAUCUGACAUGUAGAAGAGGAAUAAAAGAUAGAGAACUAAUGGUAAAUGCUUCUAGAUCCUGCAUGACUAUGUCUGCUAGAAUUGGAGAAAGAGGAGAGCCCAUUGGUGCGCCAAAGUCCUUUUAUUGCGAGAUCAAUUGGAAUGUUAGUGAUUAAAGACAUAACAUCGAGAGAGAUUAACUCAAAUGUUUCAUCAAAUGUAACUUCAGAGAUCCGACUCGCAAGAUGGAAGCUAUUAUAAACAAAGCUUGAAGGAGGUUUGAGAUUUUUUGAAAUUAUUUUGUGUAAAAAAAUUGCAAGAUUGUGUAGUGGACUGUUGAUGGUAGAAAUGAUUAUCCUGAAAAGGUUGCCCGGUUUGUGGAUAAAACUUAACUAAUAUAAUAUAAAAUUAUGAAAGAACUCGGUGAGACAAAGUUUUGAUUACAUAUAACGACUGUGUCGAGAGCUAUCAAAAAUUGCACGAGAUGAAACUCUAUUUUGAUAAAAAAACGCUUUAUUGUCAACUAAUUCGACAAAUCGGGCUGUCAACAUAUAAGGAUCGUAAUGUGCGAAACGAGCGGAGAGUGAAGACCGCGCGCGUCCGCGCGUCGAAAGUAAACACAUCAUUAUAAAA